This 444-nucleotide ribosomal RNA is filed under the name uncultured bacterium. RNAcentral describes it as "partial 16S ribosomal RNA". It matches the Rfam family "Bacterial small subunit ribosomal RNA", at positions 354 to 796 of the family's 1533-position model. The record is from RNAcentral.
GUAGGGAAUAUUGGGCAAUGGUCGGAAGACUGACCCAGCCAUGCCGCGUGCAGGAAGACGGCCCUCUGGGUUGUAAACUGCUUUUAUCUGGGAAGAAAAAGGCCAUGCGUGGCAAAUUGCCGGUACCAGAUGAAUAAGCACCGGCUAACUCCGUGCCAGCAGCCGCGGUAAUACGGAGGGUGCGAGCGUUGUCCGGAUGUAUUGGGUUUAAAGGGUGCGUAGGCGGCUGAUUAAGUCAGCGGUGAAAGACUUGGGCUUAACCGGAGCAGUGCCGUUGAUACUGGUUGGCUUGAGUGUCGGAGGGGUACAUGGAAUUGAUGGUGUAGCGGUGAAAUGCAUAGAUACCAUCAGGAACACCGAUAGCGAAGGCAUUGUACUGGCCGACAACUGACGCUGAUGCACGAAAGUGUGGGGAUCGAACAGGAUUAGAUACCCUUGUAGUCC